AAAACAUUUUUUUCACUCUGCUUUUAUGAAUUAAUGAGUUAAUUAUCUCAGAAUUAUGAGAAUAAUCUUCAUGAAAAAAAAUUUUUGCUCUGUUUUUCUGAAUUAACGAGAUCCCUCAAAAUCCUGCGAGAAGCUUUCACCUGCACGAAGUAACGUCAGGCCACAGUUGCUGAUGCUAAUCAGCCUGACCCUUCAACAACAACAGUGCCAGGUCUACAUGGGUUCAGUGCAGGGCCAGCUAUGGCUACGUCUUCAAAUACCCCCCUCCCACAAGAUGACGGUCUGUGGAUGUUUCUUCAGAGCUGAGGGAUUCCUGAGGAAAAUAUUCAGAAAAUGCAGCAAGAUCAUAUUGACAGCUCGGUAGUUGGAGAAAUAGAUGAUACCACUAUGACUGCUUACAUUCCAGC
Cyprinus carpio (common carp) is the source of this 407-nucleotide long non-coding RNA. RefSeq lists it as uncharacterized. The record is from RefSeq and is a predicted model, not a curated record. The transcript is spliced from 3 exons. Lineage: Eukaryota; Metazoa; Chordata; Actinopteri; Cypriniformes; Cyprinidae.